RNAcentral lists this long non-coding RNA (338 nucleotides) under Rhinopithecus bieti (black snub-nosed monkey). RNAcentral's name for it is "lncRNA (ENSRBIG00000046562.1)". Lineage: Eukaryota; Metazoa; Chordata; Mammalia; Primates; Cercopithecidae. The record is from RNAcentral.
AAUUCCUUAGUCCCCUAGUCAGCCCCUCCACCUUGCAAUUCAGAGGAGGGGAAAUGGUAAGAAUGUGAUGGAGGGUGAAGAAGCCCAAGAUGGGUUCACAAGGACAUUCAUCCUCAUGGCACUGGGCAAUCUCAGGCUGUGCAAAACCAGUCUUCUGUGGUGACACAAUUUGGCUGCCAAAAGCCAUGACAGGAGCAUCUAUGAUCCUAUAAGUGGGAUUCACUUUGUGGGGAACAGAGGCCAGGGCUUCCUGCAUGUGGAGGCUGCCAUGUUUGUGCAAGACUGCAAUCACCCCAGAAGCUAUAUUUACAGGAAACACAGAGUUAAGUUUGAUGGAA